UGGGGAAUAUUGCACAAUGGGGGAAACCCUGAUGCAGCGACGCCGCGUGAAGGAAGAAGUAUCUCGGUAUGUAAACUUCUAUCAGCAGGGAAGAUAGUGACGGUACCUGACUAAGAAGCCACGGCUAACUACGUGCCAGCAGCCGCGGUAAUACGUAGGUGGCAAGCGUUGUCCGGAAUUACUGGGUGUAAAGGGAGCGCAGGCGGGAAAUCAAGUUGGAUGUGAAAUGUCGGGGCUUAACCCCGGAACUGCAUCCAAAACUGAUAUUCUUGAGUGAAGUAGAGGUAGGCGGAAUUCCGAGUGUAGCGGUGAAAUGCGUAGAUAUUCGGAGGAACACCAGUGGCGAAGGCGGCCUACUGGGCUUUAACUGACGCUGAGGCUCGAAAGUGUGGGGAGCAAACAGGAUUAGAUACCCUGGUAGU
This 422-nucleotide ribosomal RNA is filed under the name uncultured Blautia sp. RNAcentral describes it as "bacterial SSU rRNA". It matches the Rfam family "Bacterial small subunit ribosomal RNA", at positions 355 to 794 of the family's 1533-position model. The record is from RNAcentral. Lineage: Bacteria; Bacillati; Bacillota; Clostridia; Lachnospirales; Lachnospiraceae.